GACUACAUGCCAGGACCUCCCCUUGGCAGGGAUGUCUCCCAAGGUAAAUUUUGGAGUGCUGUUCUACAGAGGGCUCUGUGGACAUAUCUGAAGUGACAGUGAAAUAACUUCAACUGGAAUGAUGAAGGAUACUUUCUUCAUCGGCCACACCUAUAUGUGAUUAACUGCUUUUUUUUUUUUUUUUUUUUUUUUUUUUUUUUUAGGAGAUGUGCAUUGAUAUAAUUUCAGGUGGAAAAAAAAAUUGAAGUUCCUGCUGCUGAUUUUGAGUUAGUAUAGUACGAUCAUUCCAAUCCUUUCUCAUUGACAUUGGAAGCAAAAAGUAUUUUGCAGGAUGAAUUUGGCAUGGCUUGACCAAAUUUUUAUUUAAACCAGUUAAUUGGCUUUAGAUGAAAUAGGGGUCUGGAGCUGCCUGAUUCAGACAAACUGACUGAAAAAAAAAAAAAAAAGACAUUUUCAAUGUUUAAGCAACUACAUGGCAAAAGCUCUUAUGCUUAGAGACUCUCAGAUAUGCAAAGAGUUCUGCAGAAUUGUUGCUGCUUGUUAAAUGGGACUUAA
RNAcentral lists this long non-coding RNA (555 nucleotides) under Anas platyrhynchos platyrhynchos (common mallard). RNAcentral's name for it is "lncRNA (ENSAPLG00000031062.1)". Lineage: Eukaryota; Metazoa; Chordata; Aves; Anseriformes; Anatidae. The record is from RNAcentral.